RNAcentral lists this long non-coding RNA (290 nucleotides) under Lepisosteus oculatus (spotted gar). Its description in RNAcentral is "lncRNA (ENSLOCG00000022935.1)". Lineage: Eukaryota; Metazoa; Chordata; Actinopteri; Semionotiformes; Lepisosteidae. The record is from RNAcentral.
UGAAAGGGUGGCAGAGAAACAUGGGAGAAAGCUCCGAUCGGAGGAGUGAGGAUCGCUAGACUGGCUGCCACCCCCGUAUCAUUCACAUCGGCCCCUGGAAGUGAAGCUGGCAGGGAGGGAUAAGAGCCUGUGCAUUUCUCACCGCUCUGGGUCUUUUGAGUCACUGGGAGCUGAGAAGGACACAUCUCAGACAGCUGGACUUCUAGUUAUAGAAAUGGGUAAGUGACAACUUUUUUUUAAAUACAAUUCAAAUUAGAAUUAAAGAAUGCUCAUAAUUUUACAGGUUUUUU